GCCAACGUAGCUCAGUCGGUAGAGCGCAUCCAUGGUAAGGAUGAGGUCCGCGGUUCAAUCCCGCGCGUUGGCU
RNAcentral lists this transfer RNA (73 nucleotides) under Candidatus Kaiserbacteria bacterium. RNAcentral's name for it is "tRNA-Thr". It matches the Rfam family "tRNA". From Rfam's summary of the family: Transfer RNA (tRNA) molecules are approximately 80 nucleotides in length. Lineage: Bacteria; Candidatus Kaiseribacteriota. The record is from RNAcentral. RNAcentral also lists the same sequence under 1 other name.